This 303-nucleotide ribosomal RNA is filed under the name uncultured bacterium. RNAcentral's name for it is "partial 16S ribosomal RNA". It matches the Rfam family "Bacterial small subunit ribosomal RNA", at positions 507 to 809 of the family's 1533-position model. The record is from RNAcentral.
AGCAGUCGCCGCGGGAAUACGAAGGGUGCAAGCGUUACUCGGAAUUACUGGGCGUAAAGCGUGCGUAGGUGGUGGUUUAAGUCCGUUGUGAAAGCCCUGGGUUCAACCUGGGAAUUGCAGUGGAUACUGGAUCACUAGAGCGUGGUAGAGGAUAGUGGAAUUUCCGGUGUAGCAGUGAAAUGCGUAGAGAUCGGAAGGAACAUCUGUGGCGAAGGCGACUAUCUGGGCCAACACUGACACUGAGGCACGAAAGCGUGGGGAGCAAACAGGAUUAGAUACCCCCGUAGUCCCUGUCUCUUAUAA